GCAGUAGCAGACGUAAACGCUUUGCAGCGCCAGUGUGUGUCGUGUCUUCCUUUUGUGGUUCGUCUUAGGUGUUUGCGCUGUAAGUUUAAGUUCAGAGGCUUUGUAGCAAGGAUGGCUGAAGUUCGCGGCAGCAAUUUCUCCUUUGUUCGGGCGCCAGACUGCUUCUUCUGCGGUGACAGCUGUAGGGAAGACGCUGACCUCUGUGGGUGCGGGUAUGAACACGAUGUUACCGGUGUUUGGGGCAACAUGGUCCACAUACGUGCCAGACUGCAUCUUAUCUCCCUUCCGCAUUGAGUGAGCAACCCUCUUCACAGGUGCCAUAGCGGCACCUGUGAACCCUUUUCUUCCAUGCUGCACCAGCGCAUUACCAGCAGCGAGCGCCGCCAUCAUGGAAGUAGUGCGCAACAGGAAAAUGUUACAGUGCACAGCCUUUCAUGUGCCCGGCAUGUCCAGAGUUCCCCGUACCAAGGCUUUCUAUUACUUCCUCUGUACUUGUGUACGAUUGAUUUCGGUUGCGAUUAAAAUUGCACUGUGCAACAUUCGUAUUAAACUUCCGCAGAGCUGCUGCGCUAUUUCAGCUUAUAUAGAAUUUUUUCGCCGUCCCAUUCACUUGAUUUUAAUGAGUUUACUGCAUUUUCAUGUUGGCUUCAUUUCUUUUGCAACAAGGUUUGAGUGUAAAUGAGUAUGAAUUCAAGGAUGGGGACCAAGUUACAACAGCUGUUGCGUCACGGGGACCUGUUGUGUCACUUAACCGCUUCUACAUAGAUCCUUGUCUUGAAAAUUUGUGGACAUUGAUCUUCAUUCUUUGGUGAAAAAAUGCAAGCAAGCAGUUGAUCGAGCCACAAAAUUUUAUUGUCAGCCUGUUCUUUCAAAUACACUACACAGAGUGGGUUACACUUGUGUGACCUUGUGUUGCAAAAUAAGGGGUGGAACACUUGUACGAAGCCAAAGCAGAGAGAGGUGGCAGGGCCGUGUGCAGAGACGAACAUACGGAGACAAGGGGUGGCAACACUCGACGUAUGAUAUGUUCACUGAGACAAAAUGACCACACAAACUGCCCUUGCAACAAGCCCUACGAUGCUGCUGGCCUCCAACCAAACACAUGCACGCACGCACGCACUUCCGGUCAGGGGAGAAAGGGGGCAUGCAGAGAGGCACUAACGCUGGACAACCUGUACAAAAAGAUGCCUAGGCCUUUAGCUGCUGGAAAGCUCGGCUCGUUGGUGGUGCGACACCUUAAGGGUCAAGAAAAAAAAAAAAGAAA
Dermacentor albipictus is the source of this 1264-nucleotide long non-coding RNA. RefSeq lists it as uncharacterized. The record is from RefSeq and is a predicted model, not a curated record. Lineage: Eukaryota; Metazoa; Arthropoda; Arachnida; Ixodida; Ixodidae.